AACCCGACUCCAUGAAGCUGGAUUCGCUAGUAAUCGCGCAUCAGCCACGGCGCGGUGAAUACGUUCCCGGGCCCUUGUACACACCGCCCGUCAAGCCAUGGAAGCCCGGGGGUGCCUGAAGUGCGCUGCCGCAAGGAGCGCCCUAGGGUAAAACCGGUGACUGGGGCUAAGUCGUAACAAGGUACC
This 186-nucleotide ribosomal RNA is filed under the name uncultured bacterium. RNAcentral's name for it is "partial 16S ribosomal RNA". It matches the Rfam family "Bacterial small subunit ribosomal RNA", at positions 1309 to 1500 of the family's 1533-position model. The record is from RNAcentral.